This 201-nucleotide long non-coding RNA is filed under the name Mytilus galloprovincialis (Mediterranean mussel). Lineage: Eukaryota; Metazoa; Mollusca; Bivalvia; Mytilida; Mytilidae. The record is from RNAcentral.
CACACAAGGAAGCUACUAAACAAGAGUACAAAGUAGUGAAGUUGAACUCAUUUCUUCGUAAAUUUUCUAUUUUAACAUUGGCGUUGUCAGUUUGUUUCUACUUAUGAGUUUGAAAGUCUCUUUGGUGUAUUUUGCCUCUCUUUUACGGCAUUGUUACAAUGCCGCUGCUGAUAUACUAUCAGACUUCGAGCUUAUCAUCAG